AAGCGGAGCGGAGAUGAGCAUUGACUCGGGAACGUUCAACGAGCGGUAGGAAUGAAAAGGAGCUACGAGAACAUGGCCCGAGAAACGAACGCUAGAGGAAAACCAGCACGAAGCGGGCGAAAGUAGAGCAGAAGAUAGAAGAAAUGGAGUUUUACGACGACGGGAAAACGAAUCAAUUGAGAAGAGACUGAAGCUGCUGAUUGGAGGACAUUCUCAAUGCUGGAAUAGAAGGAAAACUAGGGUUUUUGCAGUUGACCAAAAAGAGAGUGAAAACAUGUGAGUCAGUGUUGAGGUUGAUGUUUGAUUUUCCCAUGCAAAUUCUCAUGCAGGUUCCAGUGGUCAACACUCCAAAAAUAUAAAUUCAAGACCUUUCACUCUGGACUAGUGAUUUACAGAGUGAGUGAUGGUUUCUGGAAAGCUAGGAUAGUAGCUGAUUGAUAAAAAUGUUUGAAUAAAUGUUAACAUGGUUGCAUGGUUUUCUUUUUCAUUCCUGACAUCCUACCUAUCUAUAUUGGUUUUUGAGAAGAAAUCUUAUCUAGCUAGUUCAAACUGAAAACCCAUCAUGAUGAGUCUGGUUAGUGUUCAUUUGAAGUGUUUUUGGUAGUAAAGUUAUCAAUUUAAACUGGUUAUCUUUUUGGUUUAAAAUGAAAACUCAUCAUGAGUCUGAUUAGUGUUCACUUGAAGUGUUUCUGUUAGUAAGGCUAUCAAUUUAAACUGGUUAUCUUUUUGGUUUAAACUGAAAACCCAUCAUUAGUCUGAUUAGUGUUCAUUUGAAAUGUUUUUGUUAAUAAGGUUAUCAAUUUAAACUGGUUAUCUUUUUGGUUUCACAAGCAAAUUAAAAAGGAUAUUCCUGUAAUAGGUUUUAGUGUUUUUGGUAAGAGUGAACAGGUUGCUGGCAACUGCUAUUGAUUUGGUGAUUGA
Carica papaya (papaya) is the source of this 921-nucleotide long non-coding RNA. RefSeq lists it as uncharacterized. NCBI's taxonomy places the organism in Eukaryota, Viridiplantae, Streptophyta, Magnoliopsida, Brassicales, Caricaceae. The record is from RefSeq and is a predicted model, not a curated record.